CCCGGACGUGAAACAGCAGCGACAUGUCUCAUCCCUCGUUCUGUGUCUGUCUUAUCUAAUUCAAUGAUGAUGGAUAUUUAUUGUGAGCUGCACGAGACCAGAGCUGACUCCCCAUCUUGCAAGGCAGUGUGAGAGGCUCUGCUCUCUGCAUGUAUUGGACUGAAUCUGAGGCUGCAAUUAUUUUAAUCUUUUCUGUUGAAGAAGCAAAACAUACAC
This is a long non-coding RNA of Alligator sinensis (Chinese alligator), 216 nucleotides long. RefSeq lists it as uncharacterized. The record is from RefSeq and is a predicted model, not a curated record. NCBI's taxonomy places the organism in Eukaryota, Metazoa, Chordata, Crocodylia, Alligatoridae. The transcript is spliced from 3 exons.